RNAcentral lists this ribosomal RNA (253 nucleotides) under uncultured bacterium. RNAcentral's name for it is "partial 16S ribosomal RNA". It matches the Rfam family "Bacterial small subunit ribosomal RNA", at positions 524 to 776 of the family's 1533-position model. The record is from RNAcentral.
UACAGAGGGUGCAAGCGUUAAUCGGACUUACUGGGCGUAAAGGGUGCGUAGGUGGAAAUUUAAGUUGAGUGUGAAAUAUCUGGGCUUAACCUGGAGGGUGCAUUCAAAACUGAGUUUCUAGAGUAUGGUAGAGGGAAGUGGAAUUUCCGGUGUAGCGGUGAAAUGCGUAGAUAUCGGAAGGAACACCAGUGGCGAAGGCGACUUCCUGGGCCAAUACUGACACUGAGGCACGAAAGCGUGGGUAGCAAACAGG